This is a long non-coding RNA of Sardina pilchardus (European sardine), 3654 nucleotides long. RefSeq lists it as uncharacterized. The record is from RefSeq and is a predicted model, not a curated record. NCBI's taxonomy places the organism in Eukaryota, Metazoa, Chordata, Actinopteri, Clupeiformes, Clupeidae. The transcript is spliced from 4 exons.
UGACAAGUACUCAUCACAAGCAUUCCAAAAAUAUAUGAUAUAGGCUACUUAAUGUGAUCUGUCUUCGAGUUACACCCUAUAAACUACCAACACUGUCAAAAGUGUCCGUCAAUGCAAACGGUGGCAUCCUCCUGGCAGAUGGUGUUAUCAAGCACACAGAAGGGUGGAAUAUAGUUUAUUGUACCUUAAAUGACAAGUACUCAUCACAAGCAUUCCAAAAAUGUAUGAUUUAGGCUACUUAAUGUGAUCUGUCUUCGAGUUACACCCUACAAACUACCAACACUGUCAAAAGUGUCAGUCAAUGCAAACGGUCGCGUCCUCCUGGCAGAUGGUGUUAUGAAGCACACAGAAGGGUGGAAUAUAGCUUAUUGUACCUUAAAUGACAAGCACUCAUCACAAGCAUUCCAAAAAUAUAUGAUUUAAAUUACUUAAUGUGAUCUGUCUUCGAGUUACACCCUAAAAACUACCAACACUGUCAAAAGUGUCCGUCAAUGCAAACGGUGGCAUCCUCCUGGCAGAUGGUGUUAUCAAGCACACAGAAGGGUGGAAUAUAGCUUAUUGUACUUUAAAUGACAAGUACUCAUCACAAGCAUUCCAAAAAUAUAUGAUUUAGGCUACUUAAUGUGAUCUGUCUUCGAGUUACACCCUAAAAACUACCAACACUGUCAAAAGUGUCCGUGAAUGCAAACGGUGGCAUCCUCCUGGCAGAUGGUGUUAUCAAGCACACAGAAGGGUGGAAUAUAGCUUAUUGUACUUUAAAUGACAAGCACUCAUCACAAGCAUUCCAAAAAUAUAUGAUUUAAAUUACUUAAUGUGAUCUGUCUUCGAGUUACACCCUAAAAACUACCAACACUGUCAAAAGUGUCCGUCAAUGCAAACGGUGGCAUCCUCCUGGCAGAUGGUGUUAUCAAGCACACAGAAGGGUGGAAUAUAGCUUAUUGUACUUUAAAUGACAAGUACUCAUCACAAGCAUUCCAAAAAUAUAUGAUUUAGGCUACUUAAUGUGAUCUGUCUUCGAGUUACACCCUAAAAACUACCAACACUGUCAAAAGUGUCCGUGAAUGCAAACGGUGGCAUCCUCCUGGCAGAUGGUGUUAUCAAGCACACAGAAGGGUGGAAUAUAGCUUAUUGUACUUUAAAUGACAAGUACUCAUCACAAGCAUUCCAAAAAUAUAUGAUUUAAAUUACUUAAUGUGAUCUGUCUUCGAGUUACACCCUAAAAACUACCAACACUGUCAAAAGUGUCCGUCAAUGCAAACGGUGGCAUCCUCCUGGCAGAUGGUGUUAUCAAGCACACAGAAGGGUGGAAUAUAGCUUAUUGUACUUUAAAUGACAAGUACUCAUCACAAGCAUUCCAAAAAUAUAUGAUUUAGGCUACUUAAUGUGAUCUGUCUUCGAGUUACACCCUAAAAACUACCAACACUGUCAAAAGUGUCCGUGAAUGCAAACGGUGGCAUCCUCCUGGCAGAUGGUGUUAUCAAGCACACAGAAGGGUGGAAUAUAGCUUAUUGUACUUUAAAUGACAAGCACUCAUCACAAGCAUUCCAAAAAUAUAUGAUUUAAAUUACUUAAUGUGAUCUGUCUUCGAGUUACACCCUAAGAACUACCAACACUGUCAAAAGUGUCCGUCAAUGCAAACGGUGGCAUCCUCCUGGCAGAUGGUGUUAUCAAGCACACAGAAGGGUGGAAUAUAGCUUAUUGUACUUUAAAUGACAAGUACUCAUCACAAGCAUUCCAAAAAUAUAUGAUUUAGGCUACUUAAUGAAAUCUGUCUUCGAGUUACACCCUAAAAACUACCAACACUGUCAAAAGUGUCCGUGAAUGCAAACGGUGGCAUCCUCCUGGCAGAUGGUGUUAUCAAGCACACAGAAGGGUGGAAUAUAGCUUAUUGUACUUUAAAUGACAAGUACUCAUCACAAGCAUUCCAAAAAUAUAUGAUAUAGGCUACUUAAUGUGAUCUGUCUUCGAGUUACACCCUAAAAACUACCAACACUGUCAAAAGUGUCCGUCAAUGCAAACGGUGGCAUCCUCCUGGCAGAUGGUGUUAUCAAGCACACAGAAGGGUGGAAUAUAGCUUAUUGUACUUUAAAUGACAAGUACUCAUCACAAGCAUUCCAAAAAUAUAUGAUUUAAAUUACUUAAUGUGAUCUGUCUUCGAGUUACACCCUAAAAACUACCAACACUGUCAAAAGUGUCCGUCAAUGCAAACGGUCGUGUCCUCCUGGCAGAUGGUGUUAUCAAGCACACAGAAGGGUGGAAUAUAGUUUAUUGUACCUUAAAUGACAAGUACUCAUCACAAACAUUCCAAAAAUAUAUGAUUUAAAUUACUUAAUGUGAUCUGUCUUCGAGUUACACCCUAAAAACUACCAACACUGUCAAAAGUGUCCGUCAAUGCAAACGGUGGCAUCCUCCUGGCAGAUGGUGUUAUCAAGCACACAGAAGGGUGGAAUAUAGCUUAUUGUACCUUAAAUGACAAGUACUCAUCACAAGCAUUCCAAAAAUAUAUGAUUUAGGCUACUUAAUAUGAUCUGUCUUCGAGUUACACCCUAAAAACUACCGGUGUUCAAAAGUAUCCGUCAAUGCAAACGGUCACGGCCCACUGGCAGAUGGUGUUAAUAAGCACACAGAAGGGUGGAAUAUAGCUUAUUAUAGCUUAAAUCACAUCUACAUUCUACAGGCAUUCCAAGAAUAUAUGGUUUAGGCUACUUACAUUUAUCUGUCCCCAUGUUACACCCUAAAAGCUACCCGUGUUCAAAAGCAUCCGUCGAUGCAAACGGUCACGGCCCACUGGCAGAUGGUGUUAACAAGCACACAGAAGGGUGGAAUAUAACUUAUUAUAGCUUAAAUCACAUCUACACUCUACAGGCAUUCCAAAAAUAUAUGAUUGAGGCCACUUAAACUGAUCUGUCCCCAUGUUACACCCAGAAUUGGUAAUGCCUUUUUUUCUGUUACUGGUAAUUUAGGCCCAUGGCAUCUUGAGGCCUUUUGGACAGAGGAGAGGACGACCGAGCUGGUUAACCUCUACACAAAUAGAUGCACGUCAAGUGAUGCUUUGGGGAGUGAGACCGCCGGUAUACCCACCUACAGUAUAUUGAUCCUGACAUCAGUGCCAAAUAUUUCUUGAUAAUAAUAAUAAUAAUAAUACCUCAGUUUUUUAUAGCGCUUUUCUGGGUACCCAAAGACGCUUGAUGGCAAUUGGUCGAAAAAAGCACGGGUGUAUCAUGGCCCAAAUAUGCUGAGGAAUGCAGGCUGCCUUGGUGGGCUUAGGAGUUGCCUUUCACUUCAGUCAGUGACGGAAAAGGUCCAGGACGUAAGGCUUUUACAGCUGAAAAGCUGAGACAGCUUGUGCAGUCCUACAAUGCACAUGUCAAUGAUCAGCUGUUUGUUGAGGCAGCGGCAGCAGAUGCAGCACCAACACCACCAGCAGCAGCAGUGGCAGGAGCAGCACCACCAGCACCACCAGCACCACCAGCACUAUAAAUGCCAGCAGCGGCAGAUUAUAAAGAAGGAUAACAAUUAAUACAUGAAAUUAGAGUGGGAAGUUGUGCUUUUAUGUUUCAUGUUUAUGGUUUUAUAUAUAUAUGCACCUUACUUGAGCGUCUCUACAAAUUCAUUAUACUGCAAUGCAAUUACAAUAAAGGCAUUAAUUUGUCA